This 330-nucleotide unclassified non-coding RNA is filed under the name Hevea brasiliensis (rubber tree). The record is from RNAcentral. Lineage: Eukaryota; Viridiplantae; Streptophyta; Magnoliopsida; Malpighiales; Euphorbiaceae.
GGUGCAAAUCUUCAACGGGCUUAUCUACGACAAGUCAAUCUUCAGAACACACAUUUGGAAAAUACAAAGCUUGAUGGUGCCAAUUUGCUUGGAGCAAUUCGAUGAAAUGGAUUUACUCACAGCAAAGCAUAUCUGCUUUGCUCCAAUUUCAUAUCCAUUUUUUUCUUCUGGAUGUAGAAUUCAGUGCAUGUUGUGGAUGGGUUGACUGAAUCAAUUUGAAGGACUUGUUGGCAUGUGGUUUGUAGUAUGUAAAUAAAUGUUUGGUAAAAGGCUAAAUAAAUUUCUAGAUUUUCUUGCAUUAAAAAAAAAUGGAUAUGAAAUGGAUUUACU